Molecule: ribosomal RNA, 498 nt
Filed under: uncultured bacterium
Lineage: Bacteria
Description: partial 16S ribosomal RNA
Rfam family: Bacterial small subunit ribosomal RNA
Source: RNAcentral
AUUGAACGCUGGCGGCAUGCCUUACACAUGCAAGUCGAACGGCAGCACGGGGCAACCUGGUGGCGAGUGGCGAACGGGUGAGUAAUGCAUCGGAACGUACCUUUCAGUGGGGGAUAACGUAGCGAAAGUUACGCUAAUACCGCAUAUUCUGUGAGCAGGAUAGCAGGGGAUCGCAAGACCUUGCGCUGAUUGAGCGGCCGAUGUCAGAUUAGCUAGUUGGUGAGGUAAAGGCUCACCAAGGCGACGAUCUGUAGCGGGUCUGAGAGGAUGAUCCGCCACACUGGAACUGAGACACGGUCCAGACUCCUACGGGAGGCAGCAGUGGGGGAUUUUGGACAAUGGGGGCAACCCUGAUCCAGCCAUGCCGCGUGAGUGAAGAAGGCCUUCGGGUUGUAAAGCUCUUUCGGCCGGGAAGAAAUCGCACGGGCUAAUACCCUGUGUGGAUGACGGUACCGGAAUAAGAAGCACCGGCUAACUACGUGCCAGCCGCCGCGGUAA